UGAGUGGCUUUGCCCCUGGGCACAACACAAAAAAAACAUAAUCACACAGAAUUGCCCAAAACAUAUUUACAAUGAGGGUUAAGUUUUGUGUCUCUCAACACACAUUAUUUCCAUAACAAUAAAUAUGCAACAAAUAAAAAAUUACAAUAAAAAAAUGUGCAAACAAAAAAUAACAAAACAUGUGACACCACUUACAUUUCAACUAUGCGUGCAUAUAAAUUAA
Molecule: long non-coding RNA, 223 nt
Filed under: Brassica napus (rape)
Lineage: Eukaryota; Viridiplantae; Streptophyta; Magnoliopsida; Brassicales; Brassicaceae
Description: long non-coding RNA (BNAP_LNC004266)
Source: RNAcentral